This 470-nucleotide ribosomal RNA is filed under the name uncultured bacterium. Its description in RNAcentral is "bacterial SSU rRNA". It matches the Rfam family "Bacterial small subunit ribosomal RNA", at positions 28 to 500 of the family's 1533-position model. The record is from RNAcentral.
GAUGAACGCUGGCGGCGUGCUUAACACAUGCAAGUCGAGCGAAGCGGCUGAAUUGAUUCUUCGGAUGAUUUUCAGUUGACUGAGCGGCGGACGGGUGAGUAACGCGUGGGUGACCUGCCCCAUACCGGGGGAUAACAGCUGGAAACGGCUGCUAAUACCGCAUAAGCGCACAGAGCUGCAUGGCUCGGUGUGAAAAACUCCGGUGGUAUGGGAUGGGCCCGCGUCUGAUUAGGCAGUUGGCGGGGUAACGGCCCACCAAACCGACGAUCAGUAGCCGGCCUGAGAGGGCGACCGGCCACAUUGGGACUGAGACACGGCCCAAACUCCUACGGGAGGCAGCAGUGGGGAAUAUUGCACAAUGGGGGAAACCCUGAUGCAGCGACGCCGCGUGAGCGAAGAAGUAUUUCGGUAUGUAAAGCUCUAUCAGCAGGGAAGAUAAUGACGGUACCUGACUAAGAAGCCCCGGCUAA